This 65-nucleotide transfer RNA is filed under the name Gordionus wolterstorffii. RNAcentral's name for it is "tRNA-Met". The record is from RNAcentral. Lineage: Eukaryota; Metazoa; Nematomorpha; Gordioida; Chordodea; Parachordodidae.
UUCAAAAUAAGCUAAUUAAAGCUAACGGGUUCAUACCUCGUAAAUGACUUAACUUUCUUUUGAAA